RNAcentral lists this ribosomal RNA (497 nucleotides) under uncultured bacterium. RNAcentral describes it as "partial 16S ribosomal RNA". It matches the Rfam family "Bacterial small subunit ribosomal RNA", at positions 28 to 507 of the family's 1533-position model. The record is from RNAcentral.
GACGAACGCUGGCGGCGUGCCUAAUACAUGCAAGUUGAGCGCUGAAGGUUGGUACUUGUACCAACUGGAUGAGCAGCGAACGGGUGAGUAACGCGUGGGGAAUCUGCCUUUGAGCGGGGGACAACAUUUGGAAACGAAUGCUAAUACCGCAUAAAAACUUUAAACACAAGUUUUAAGUUUGAAAGAUGCAAUUGCAUCACUCAAAGAUGAUCCCGCGUUGUAUUAGCUAGUUGGUGAGGUAAAGGCUCACCAAGGCGAUGAUACAUAGCCGACCUGAGAGGGUGAUAGGCCACAUUGGGACUGAGACACGGCCCAAACUCCUACGGGAGGCAGCAGUAGGGAAUCUUCGGCAAUGGACGAAAGUCUGACCGAGCAACGCCGCGUGAGUGAAGAAGGUUGUCGGAUCGUAAAACUCUGUUGGUAGAGAAGAACGUUGGUGAGAGUGGAAAGCUCAUCAAGUGACGGUAACUACCCAGAAAGGGACGGCUAACUACGUG